Molecule: long non-coding RNA, 776 nt
Organism: Poecilia reticulata (guppy)
Lineage: Eukaryota; Metazoa; Chordata; Actinopteri; Cyprinodontiformes; Poeciliidae
Source: RefSeq, a predicted model, not a curated record
UGAGGCAGAAAUAUCGGUGGUCAGGAAAAUACUACAAUCACGCAAAGAAUCAGAACAACGGAUGCAAUGUUCAACCAUAGAUCAUGGUAAUAAGGGCUUCAGAUUUCACAGGUGUCCUGUGAUGCGUCUACAUCCUGGUUACAAGCUGGUGGACGGCGGCGCCCUCCAUCACCUCUUCCUCCGCCAACACCUUCCUCUGGAGCUCCUGAAGGACGAAACAGGAGAGCUGAGAAUUUUUUCCGUUCGUCUCUCACCCUGAAGCUGUGGAGUCUCGUCCGUCUGUCCUGCAGAGUCUUCUCCUGGCUGGACGUCACUUCUGCUAUCUGCGUCCUCCACUGCUGCUCUCUCUCCUGUAACACCAGAGUUUCACACAUGCACCAGUUCAAACAGUCAACAGUGUUGAUGACUAAAUAUACUGUUAAAAAGACAGAAGGAAAAAAUACGGACCCAGUUACGCCUCAAUGCCCUGAGGAUUACGAAAUGAAUGUGAAAAAUCAAAAAGAUUCCAUAUUUGACCUUGAUCAUCGAUGACCUUUUACAGUUGCACUUGGUGUGAUUCUUUGUAAACAUGUGACCACUUGUCAGAAUGCUGGUUUCCUUAAACGUUUUAAACCACUUUGAAUAAUAAACUCAAACUUAAUGAACUGUUUGAUAUCUACGAUCAGCUGGAAUGUUUGUGUGAUUGAAUCAAAAUGACUUUUCUCCGUACAAUAUGUGUUUUAAGUUGGCACUAUAGUGUAUAUAUAAUGAAAUGAAUAUAAAAGACUUUAGAUUCA